GAUGAACGCUGGCGGCGUGCCUAAUACAUGCAAGUCGAACGCUUUGUCUUUAAUUGAUAUGCCGAGCUUGCUCUGAUUUGAUUUUAUCUGACAAAGAGUGGCGAACGGGUGAGUAACACGUGGGUAACCUACCUCUUAGCAGGGGAUAACAUUUGGAAACAAGUGCUAAUACCGUAUAACACUAACAACCGCAUGGUUGUUAGUUGAAAGAUGGUUCUGCUAUCACUAAGAGAUGGACCCGCGGUGCAUUAGCUAGUUGGUAAGGUAAUGGCUUACCAAGGCGAUGAUGCGUAGCCGAGUUGAGAGACUGAUCGGCCACAAUGGGACUGAGACACGGCCCAUACUCCUACGGGAGGCAGCAGUAGGGAAUCUUCCACAAUGGGCGCAAGCCUGAUGGAGCAACGCCGCGUGUGUGAUGAAGGGUUUCGGCUCGUAAAACACUGUUAUAAGAGAAGAACGACAUUGAGAGUAACUGUUCAGUGUGUGACGGUAUCUUAUCAGAAAGGAACGGCUAAAUACGUG
Molecule: ribosomal RNA, 522 nt
Filed under: uncultured bacterium
Lineage: Bacteria
Description: partial 16S ribosomal RNA
Rfam family: Bacterial small subunit ribosomal RNA
Source: RNAcentral